Molecule: non-coding RNA, 767 nt
Organism: Phoenix dactylifera (date palm)
Lineage: Eukaryota; Viridiplantae; Streptophyta; Magnoliopsida; Arecales; Arecaceae
Source: RefSeq, a predicted model, not a curated record
UCGCUCCCCGUCGCCUCUCCGACGCCGAUGCUAAUCUGAUUUCAGAGAACACACCAUAAGAGAAGGAACUCCCCUGACGAACGCCGUCAAACCCUAGAACUCUAAUCGGCGAUGAGGUCCCCGGAAGACGCGCCGGAGGAAAGCCCCCACAACCCGCCGGCGGCCGCCAUGCCGCAGCGUUCGGCCGGCAGGAGGAAGGGCACGCCGAACCGGCCGUGGCUGGUGGUAUCGGACUCCGGGAAGGAGCGCUUCGAGGAGGUGGGGAAGCACUCGAUCAUGCGGCGAACGGGUAUUCCGGCGCGGGAUCUGAGGCUCUUGGGCCCUCUGCUGUCCUACCCGUCGACGAUUCUGGGGAGGGAGAGGGCUAUCGUGCUCAAUCUGGAGCACGUCAAGGCCAUCAUCACGGCCACCGAGGUGUUCAUCCCCAACUCCAACGACCCCACGGUCGCCCCUUUUGUCCACGAUCUCCACUCCCGGCUCUCCAGUCCUUCCGGCGCUGCUCCUCAUCAGGUUGCAGAGUCCAGGAACAAGGGUGUUGUUACCCUUUGAGUUCAGAGUGCUUGAAAUCUGCCUUGAAUCCAGUUACAGGCACCUUGAAGCUGAGAAGAAUGAAAAAAGUAUCUGUUAAAUUGGGGAUCGAUCCUCAAGCUUGGUUUAUAAGUCUAGCAGGAAGCACUUAUAUAUGGAUGGUAAUUGAUGGUAAUUGAUUCCUCUCGUACCUGGUAUUUGAUUUUUAGUAGCAUCAGGCAUGCACAAACUAGCAUGAU